GAGAAAGAAUGAUCUCUAUAGUCUUUCUUCCAAUGUUUCCUUCGAAGUUAAGAGCAUGCCAUAUAAAGUACAGCCAGCAAAGCUCCCCACGGGAAGCAUAGCAAUCAGAACAUCUGUCAUUUGGUCCACCCCAAAUGUCUCCUUUGAAAUCCCUUUAUGGGUUAUAAUACUAGCCAUACUUCUUGGACUACUAGUACUAGCUCUGCUGACCCUAGCUUUAUGGAAGUGCGGCUUCUUUGACAGAGCUAGACCUCCUCAAGAUGACAUGGCUGACAGGCAACAGCUGACAAAUAACAAGACUACUGAUGCAUAAAGGAAGAGAGUGACAGUUCAAGUCAGAAUCCUGCCUGAGACUAGAAACACAAUGAGGAUUAAAUGAAGGAUUCCUUCCACCAGCCUUCCUUUGUGCCUACAAGCGACACGGUGCCAUAGUCUGAUCUAUGCAAUGUUCUGAUAACAUGCCACAUGACGGCCAUCCUUGCCAAAGAAAGCAGCUUUAUCACUGCCUUACAAAGAUAUUCACCACUGAACAGAAUGUUUAUCCCGUAUUUCCAGCCAGAUGCCUUUGAACACGUGUGGUAUACUGAGAUGGUUCCAGAACAAGCCCCGAUCUCUCAAAGAGAGAAAACCUUCAUUGCUGUUUUGUCUAGAAGAUGGACCAGGACAAACCUUCUAAAUGCUACUGUAUCAUACAGAAUACCUUUGAACCUCCCUAAGGAUAAGAACUUGUAUGAAAUUAUUGCUCAGGGAGACACGCAGUGUAUCAGUACUGUGACAGUACUUCUGAAAAACAAAGGUAGUCUAUAAAGAACUUUAUAGAUGGGAUACAAUUAUUUAUUUUUCCACCUUUUUAGAAUAAGUAUCUGUUAUAAUAAUCAACAUAGAUUUUGAGAGAAGAAAGUAAAAAAAAAUAGAAAUCGUGUCCUUACUUUGCAUGUAAAUAGAAAAGUAAACCCACUGUACACACAGAACACAACUUUCUUGGCUACAAGGUGUUUUGCAAAGCAGAUGAUUUAUGCAACACUUUAUGAGAUGAGACAUAUGACAAACAAGUACAUGUUGUAUCUCUUUCAGCCCAGAGCUGGCAGUAUCCCACCCGGAUAACUAAAUCCAUGCACAGCGUAGAGCAGGGAAUGAGUUACCCUGUUCUUGUCUUGCUGUACAGCCGACACAGGAUACAGUCAUUUCUGAAACACAGUUUUAAGUUAUCACAGCCACACGGGUGAUAUUGCAAAGUCUUAGGGGGUUGGGGCUGGGGUAAAUUUUCUUUUCCAUUGCUCUGUUACUUUGUUGAAAUUGCCUCUUAAAAUGGCUACUCACAAUCUUGAAAUCUUUGCCUUUUUUUUUUUAUUUUACAGUCUACAAGCUGACAGCAUCUCUAAAGUGUUGACUUCAGCAAAGUUUAGGGCUGAUUACAAUUAUUUCUUAAGCAAAGUCUUGCAGGUAAGGUGGGCAGAAUUUGUAUUUAUGCAGAAAAAUAGGAUGCCAGCCAACCAAGCAUGAAUAUAAAGAAGGAAAGAUAUUUUGAGGUAAAGAGUAAAAAAAUACACUUAGGAUUGAUUAUUUUUUUCCAGGUUAAGAGUUCUGAAGAAGAGAUGUUUCAUUAUUUCUGUUCUAUCAGCAAAUGGUCAUUAUCUCAAUAGGAGCUUUAAGCUCUGAUCUGUGCAAAUUUGUACAUGAAAGCUUGAGUCUUCCAGUGCUGCCUGAGAGUGUGAGAUUAGCUACAUUGUGUAAACUUCAGGAGGAAUUGUUUAUUUUCUGAAAUCUACACCACACUUGCUUUCUCCUGAGCUCCUCUUCUUUCCAGCCCAUCUCAGCUUCUCAGUUGGCAAAUGGCCUCAUCCAUUCUGUCACUUUUAGAAAACUGCCUUUCUGCUUCCUAGUACUUCAGGACAGGAGUAGCCAUGAGACAUUGUCAGUUCUGUCAGUCUGACACAAGAUUUUACAGUUUUACCAUUUCUUGCAUGCACACUGACCUGUGCAAUCCAAGCAGGAGCUGUGUUAUAUCUUCAUAUCCCAGGCAAAUUUGCAAGAAGACCUUAAUAGAGUCUUUAGCUUCUCAAAUGCAGUGUACCCAGGAGAUUAAAUGAGAGGAGGAAACAUAUGCGUCUGAAAAUGGAGGUGAACCAUCUGUGUGCUUCACACAAGCAAGAACCUCCAUUUUCUAAGGAUGGGGAGGCCUGACCACUUCCCAGUCGUCCAGAAAACCAUUAACAGACUCCUUCCCCCAAAUGGGUUUGAGCUGACCCCUUGUAGGUUAGAGAGAUCAGCUGACAAACAUCACCACAAAGCAAGACUAUCCCAUAUUUGCACACCCCUGUAUCCAGUACAUUCCAGGCAAAAUCGUCCUGCCGUGAAAGACAGUGAGCUUCUAGCUUUUGUAAAUAUUUAAUUGUUGUGUGUAGCAGCUUCUGAAAUAAGAUUAGCUAGCUCAUUGCAGUCACAUCAUCUGCACAAGUCUUACUCUGAUGAGACAGCACUAUAAGGACAUAACUAACAUAGGACUUUUGUAUGUGCAAUACUUUAUAUUACUUAUAUACCUGAAGCAUGUUUACACUGGCAUUUGUGUUUGUUUUUUAAACUUUUGAAUAUAGUGAUAAUGAUUACAAUAAAGAAAAAAAAUAUUAGGAACGAAAAUUUAAACAAACACAGCUCUGUUCAGUAUUUGUUGCAAUGUGUUUUCAAUCCUACAUUGCUCUGAGGAUGGGACUAGGUGACCUAAUAAGUUCUUUGCAGUUGUAACAUCUAUAGUUCACUUUUGAGCAAUUACUCUCCAUUUUAAUGAUGGGCAAAACAUGUUCAGAUACUAAAUUUAAACAAUAAAGAACCUCAGUGACUCUUGA
Empidonax traillii (willow flycatcher) is the source of this 2843-nucleotide long non-coding RNA. RefSeq lists it as uncharacterized. Lineage: Eukaryota; Metazoa; Chordata; Aves; Passeriformes; Tyrannidae. The record is from RefSeq and is a predicted model, not a curated record. The transcript has 3 exons.